Molecule: ribosomal RNA, 510 nt
Filed under: uncultured bacterium
Lineage: Bacteria
Description: bacterial SSU rRNA
Rfam family: Bacterial small subunit ribosomal RNA
Source: RNAcentral
GACGAACGCUGGCGGCGUGCCUAAUACAUGCAAGUCGAGCGGGGAUUAUGCUUGAUCGCUUCGGUGAGACGGCAUAUAUCCUAGCGGCGGACGGGUGAGUAACGCGUGGGUAAUCUACCUCGUAGUUCGGGAUAACAGGCCGAAAGGCUUGCUAAUACCGGAUGAGUUCAUGCUUAUGCAUAUAGGCAUGAAGAAAGGGCUAGCCCGCUAUGAGAUGAGCCCGCGUCCCAUUAGCUUGUUGGUGGGGUAACGGCCUACCAAGGCAACGAUGGGUAGCCGGCCUGAGAGGGUGUACGGCCACACUGGGACUGAGACACGGCCCAGACUCCUACGGGAGGCAGCAGUGGGAAUAUUGGGCAAGUGGGCGCAAGCCUGACCCAGCAACGCCGCGUGAGGGAGAAGGCUUUCGGGUUGUAAACCUCUGUCCUUGGGUGACGAAACAAUGAACGGUAGACCAAGGGACGGAACGCCCCGGACUAAACCCUCGGUCGCCAGCCAGGCCCGACGGGU